UUCCAGGUAAAUCCGGUUCACUUUAACACUGAGGCGUGACGACGAGGCACUACGGUGCUGAAGCAACAAAUGCCCUGCUUCCAGGAAAAGCCUCUAAGCAUCAGGUAACAUCAAAUCGUACCCCAAACCGACACAGGUGGUCAGGUAGAGAAUACCAAGGCGCUUGAGAGAACUCGGGUGAAGGAACUAGGCAAAAUGGUGCCGUAACUUCGGGAGAAGGCACGCUGACACGUAGGUGAAGUGAUUUACUCAUGGAGCUGAAGUCAGUCGAAGAUACCAGCUGGCUGCAACUGUUUAUUAAAAACACAGCACUGUGCAAACACGAAAGUGGACGUAUACGGUGUGACGCCUGCCCGGUGCCGGAAGGUUAAUUGAUGGGGUCAGCGCAAGCGAAGCUCCUGAUCGAAGCCCCGGUAAACGGCGGCCGUAACUAUAACGGUCCUAAGGUAGCGAAAUUCCUUGUCGGGUAAGUUCCGACCUGCACGAAUGGCGUAAUGAUGGCCAGGCUGUCUCCACCCGAGACUCAGUGAAAUUGAACUCGCUGUGAAGAUGCAGUGUACCCGCGGCAAGACGGAAAGACCCCGUGAACCUUUACUAUAGCUUGACACUGAACAUUGAGCCUUGAUGUGUAGGAUAGGUGGGAGGCUUUGAAGUGUGGACGCCAGUCUGCAUGGAGCCGACCUUGAAAUACCACCCUUUAAUGUUUGAUGUUCUAACGUGGACCCGUGAUCCGGGUUGCGGACAGUGUCUGGUGGGUAGUUUGACUGGGGCGGUCUCCUCCUAAAGAGUAACGGAGGAGCACGAAGGUUGGCUAAUCCUGGUCGGACAUCAGGAGGUUAGUGCAAUGGCAUAAGCCAGCUUGACUGCGAGCGUGACGGCGCGAGCAGGUGCGAAAGCAGGUCAUAGUGAUCCGGUGGUUCUGAAUGGAAGGGCCAUCGCUCAACGGAUAAAAGGUACUCCGGGGAUAACAGGCUGAUACCGCCCAAGAGUUCAUAUCGACGGCGGUGUUUGGCACCUCGAUGUCGGCUCAUCACAUCCUGGGGCUGAAGUAGGUCCCAAGGGUAUGGCUGUUCGCCAUUUAAAGUGGUACGCGAGCUGGGUUUAGAACGUCGUGAGACAGUUCGGUCCCUAUCUGCCGUGGGCGCUGGAGAACUGAGGGGGGCUGCUCCUAGUACGAGAGGACCGGAGUGGACGCAUCACUGGUGUUCGGGUUGUCAUGCC
RNAcentral lists this ribosomal RNA (1221 nucleotides) under Salmonella enterica subsp. enterica serovar Stanley. RNAcentral describes it as "partial 23S ribosomal RNA". It matches the Rfam family "Bacterial large subunit ribosomal RNA", at positions 1530 to 2730 of the family's 2925-position model. Lineage: Bacteria; Pseudomonadati; Pseudomonadota; Gammaproteobacteria; Enterobacterales; Enterobacteriaceae. The record is from RNAcentral.